UACUUUGAGAGUUGAAGGUUC
This 21-nucleotide unclassified non-coding RNA is filed under the name Dictyostelium discoideum. The record is from RNAcentral. Lineage: Eukaryota; Evosea; Eumycetozoa; Dictyosteliales; Dictyosteliaceae.